GGUGGCUCAGUGGCAGAGUGCUUGCCUAGCAUGCAUGAAGCCCUGGGUUCGAUUCCUCAGCACCA
Molecule: transfer RNA, 65 nt
Filed under: Dipodomys ordii (Ord's kangaroo rat)
Lineage: Eukaryota; Metazoa; Chordata; Mammalia; Rodentia; Heteromyidae
Rfam family: tRNA
About the family: Transfer RNA (tRNA) molecules are approximately 80 nucleotides in length. Their secondary structure includes four short double-helical elements and three loops (D, anti-codon, and T loops).
Source: Rfam by way of RNAcentral